AUGUGUUUAAGGCAUGAUCAAGCAAACAAACGACAGAAUACUUUUUCUGAAACCUUAACUGUGGUACCUGUUAUGGCAGCUAACAGACACUCGGCGCAUGGCUCCUUUGUUUACGUUAGGGAUCAGCUGUUAGCGCUGUGCCCUGCAGCUGCGCUACCGGCAGACGGUAGCGUCCCCAGUGAGGGAAGAGACGGGGGUGAUGUCUCCCGAGAAGGACACCUUACACACCAUCUCUCCUUCCUGUAAUCACUGUAAACGUGAGAUCGCUCCCUGAUAUGAUUGAGGAGCUAAUGACGCUAACCCGGUCACAGUGGCAGUACCCCGACACUGCCCGGUACUCCCUCUGUGAGUAGGCUGCCCGGCUUCCAGCUGCUGCGGCCGGACAAGACGAGAGACAGCGGUGAGAGGAAAGGAGGGGGACUGGGCAGUGUUUGUUAAAGAUGGUUGUGGUAUCCCUGGGCACAUUGCUGUGAAAGAACAACUCUGCAACAGAGACAUUGAGCUAUUAGCCGUUAGCAUCCGUGGAGGCAGCCUGUGACUCUCUGUGGUCCGCAGACGCAAUCUCCGAGAGCUCUUCUUCUAAUAUCAGGGGACUUUAAUCAUGUCUCGCUGGACUCCACACUGACCACCUUCACCCAGUAUGUGACCUGCCCCACCGUAGGCAAUAAAACAUUGUACUUAAUGUAUGCCAAUGAAAAAGUGGCAUACAGUUCAUCACCUCCCCCUGCCCAGGGAAGAUCUGAUCGUAAUUAGUGCGCCUUGUCCCUGUGUGCAGCACUUAGUGUGCACGGAGCCACCAAUCACCCACGCAGUGCCGAGAUGGUCCGCGGAAGGCAUAUGAAUAAAUAAUAAAAGCAAAUAAAUGACAGAAUGCUUUUUCUGAAACAAACGGAGACCUUAACUUUUAUCAAAAUACCGUUUUACUCAGUUUAAAGUAAUACCACUGUAUAAUAGCCUUCAAAUUUAAUAAUGUUAACAGUAUCUCAGGAAUAUUUUUGCCCCAUCAACAUGCAUUAAAAUUAGAUAUGCAGUUUUGAAUCAGACCUGUAUGUACGUUUUCUGAAAAGUGAUGUAAAUAAAUAAUCUCAAAAACAUGAAAUAAUUGUUUCCCAUGUAAACUGGAGUUGUCCUUGUCAAUGUCAUCAGAGUACUCUGGAUGUCUUACAUGAAUUUGAAACAGAGAGUGGCACAUGACAGCGUUGCACAUAACAUAACUAGUUUACCUGUAUGACAUAAAGUAAUUAAAAUAAAAAAGAAUCCAUGUAACUUGGUUAUGGCUUCUUUCUGGUAACUGUAGAUACAAAUCGGCUGCAGUGUGGAUUAUCUUGACAAAAGUAUAAGAUACUGAACCCGCUGAUAUGAUGUGGUGGAGGAAUACAAAUACCUGGACACCCACAUUUAUACAUUUGCUGAACUGGAAGAUCAAAACAGAGGCUGUACACAAGCAGUGGAUGGGCAGGCUUUUUUUUGUGAGCAAGCUUGUGUGUGCACCAAAAUGUUAAUGACAGGUGUUCUGUCAGUUCAGGUGAGUGCAGUGCACUUUGAUGUGUUCUUCUUGGAUCAGGAGAGCAAGCUCUGUGAUUGGCCGCGCUUCGGAAGCUGUGGUGGAGAGGAAGUGAGUGAACAAACUGCCAUGCAUCAUGGAUAUUCCUCUCAGUCCACCUCAUCAGGCACCUCUCUAAAAGUGUGACUCUGGUCUGUUGCCCCAAAGGAUACAGGAAAUGCACUGAUUUCCAGGACAGAAUCGUGUCUGUUUAAUGCUCCAUGAUGAUAACUUUCCUAUGAGCGUUUGAAGAUCACUGACAUCAUGGCUUUUAGCCUCAUUGUUUCUGCAAAGAGAUUUCUCCAGUCACUGAAUCUUUUGAUAAAAUA
This 1872-nucleotide long non-coding RNA is filed under the name Oreochromis niloticus (Nile tilapia). Its description in RNAcentral is "lncRNA (ENSONIG00000025838.2)". The record is from RNAcentral. Lineage: Eukaryota; Metazoa; Chordata; Actinopteri; Cichliformes; Cichlidae.